AGCUAACAAGUUACGUAACCACGACCAACCUUGACGUUACGGAUUGGUAAUGUCAAAAAAAACAAAAAAAAUCUAUAUAUAUAUAUAUAUAUAUAUAUAUAAGAUAUACCUGGCAAACUAGCUACUGCAGCCAGCAAACUGUACUGUAUGACUACGUUAAACAAACAUCCGUUUAGUUCGGCAAGCCGACAUCAAGGAAUCUCAGGUUCAGCCAAGAUCACUUGGAGCUCCUAUUUAAUUCAAUCAGAGCGUCAGGUGCUGAGUGCUGCAGAGAGGGUGAUCCGCCAAGCUUCACCAAUGCCAGCUCCUAAGGUGUCGACAGUCACAGACAUCGUCCGGCAGGAGAUUGGAACGGAGGAUGUUUUUCUGCUUGGGGAACACAUUGAGGAGACUCAGUUUGGCAUCGACAACCAUCAUUCUGACUUGUUGUCAUUGGUUGUGUCUGUGUUUCUCAAAAUAAGGCUGCACCACAUUACCA
This is a long non-coding RNA of Esox lucius (northern pike), 478 nucleotides long. Lineage: Eukaryota; Metazoa; Chordata; Actinopteri; Esociformes; Esocidae. The record is from Ensembl.